UACAUCCAGCAAGCAAUCUCUGGUAAAUCCCACCAUUUUCAGAACACAAGAAAUAGUUUAAUUACUAUCAGGAUGGAGUAUUAUUGAGGAUAUGCAUAUUAAAAACAUGAAAAGAGACAGGUAGAGAUAACGUUUUAAAGAGAUAUAAAGAAAAAUAAAGGUGAUGAAAUUGACAAGUGAAGAGAGGAAAAGGACGAUAGGCCAGUCAUGGACCACUUGGGCUAUAAGCUUUGCAGCCCUCCGGUCCGAUGUGAACAGCCUACACGAGUCAAGUUUUGUUCUGUUCUGGGCUAUCGGUGCACAAAGUAAGUGUGGCUCAAUGAUCCAUUUAUCAGAACCCUUGGAGACUUCAUGGGUCAUUUU
This 363-nucleotide unclassified non-coding RNA is filed under the name Hevea brasiliensis (rubber tree). Lineage: Eukaryota; Viridiplantae; Streptophyta; Magnoliopsida; Malpighiales; Euphorbiaceae. The record is from RNAcentral.